RNAcentral lists this ribosomal RNA (403 nucleotides) under Ashmunella sp. JHCS-2007. Its description in RNAcentral is "partial 16S ribosomal RNA". It matches the Rfam family "Archaeal large subunit ribosomal RNA", at positions 1951 to 2677 of the family's 2987-position model. Lineage: Eukaryota; Metazoa; Mollusca; Gastropoda; Stylommatophora; Polygyridae. The record is from RNAcentral.
CUGCCCAUGAUUAUUUAAUGGCCGCAGUACCCUGCACUGUGCAAAGGUAGCAUAAUCAAUUGGCUCAUAAUUGGAGUCUGGAAUGAAAGAAAGAAUAGGAAGGAACUGUUUCACAAUAAACAUUAAAAAUUAAUUAUUAAGUGCAAAUGCUUAAAUAUAUAUAUUAGACGAGAAGACCCUAGAAAUUUUAUGCUGUAUUAUGAGCAUUUUGUUGGGGCGACAGAGUAACAAGUGUUAACUUACUUAUAAUAUUUGUAGUGUUUUUUCAGAUAAAGUAAAUUACUCUAGGGAUAACAGCAUAAUUUUUAAUAGUUUGUGACCUCGAUGUUGGAUUAGGAAAGUAUUAAAGUUUAGAAGAUACAUAUUUUAGCUCUGUUCGAGCAAUUAUUCCUACGUGAUCUGA